RNAcentral lists this long non-coding RNA (1399 nucleotides) under Monodelphis domestica (gray short-tailed opossum). RNAcentral's name for it is "lncRNA (ENSMODG00000045319.1)". The record is from RNAcentral. Lineage: Eukaryota; Metazoa; Chordata; Mammalia; Didelphimorphia; Didelphidae.
ACACAGGCGUUAAUAGCAUCUUUCCUAUGAGACUGUAGAUAGUGGCAUUGUAACUUUAAGAGGGAGGAGAAUUUGAGUGAAUAGCAGUUGAUCUUUGGUGAGUGAGGAGAUAUUGAAUGAUGUUCAGAGAAAAGAGAAGAUAGAAAAUCUCUUCCCUGGAAGAACUGGUUGAACUCUUAUCUUAUGAAGAAACUUUAAUUGUUAGCCUAAGAUAAUUGAAUUAUAGAACUAUGUUUUCAGAAUAGAGAAGUCAGCAAUGGUUGUGUUCACAGGAUCAUGUAGUUAGGACUAGAAGGGACCUUAGAGGUCAUAGAAAUCUAAACCCUCUCAUUUAACAGAUGAAGAAACCAAGGCUGAGAGAAACUUAGAGACUUGCCCCAAAUCAGACAGGUAGUUAGUGUUUAAGGAAAGAGCUGAACUCAAGUUUCCUUCCUCAUAGUCUAAUAUUCUAUCCACUGGAUCAUUGAGCUUUGUUACUCCUUUAAAUAAUAAAUUGUGAUCUCACCCAGAUGAGAAUUCAGUGCAAUUAAAACGCAUUCUGAGAAGUGAGUAAGGACUUCUAGGAACUGGAGUCCUGGGUUCAAGUCUCCAUUUUUUAUAAUUCGCCAUGUGAUCAUUUUGGGAAAGAUUUUCCCCAAAAGGAUCAUGAAAACAUAAUCAACUUAAAGAUACAAUAAUUUGAGGAUAAGAGAGGGCUAUGAUCUUUCUCAUAGCCAAUAUACUGUAAUAAUUCUUUAUAUGUUUGUUUUAUUUGUUUUAUACUGUUAUUUGUAUGAUUUAGAACUUUGAUGUUUAUUUAAGUUUAGGAGAUGAGAGUGGUAGUAAUAUAGAGAGAUGAACAAAAUCUUUCAGGAAAAGGAAUUUUUCCAAUUCAAAAUGUACCCUCUGAAAGUCGAAUAAGAAUGAGUAAGGAAAAUGAACUAGUAGCAGCAUAUUGUUUAUCUUUCAUCCUUAAAAAAAAAAAAAAAAAAAAAAAAAAAAAAAAAAAAAAAAAAAAAAAAAAAAAAAAAAAAAAGAAGAAGAAACCAGUAUUUAUGUAGUUAAUUUCUAUAGCUAAAGGAGUAAGGAGGGGCGAAGACAAGUCUAUUUUCUAAAUUGAUGGUAGCCAACCUGACCAAGAGUAGAGGCCAGUAUUCACCCGUGUCAUUGACAAAGGACUGCAAUAUAUUUUUUAUUUAAAAAUUUAAUGCCUACUUCAUUUAUUAUACUGAACAGAACUGACUAUGUUAAUCCAUUCAUUCAUUUCUCUAUGUUGAAAUAUCAUUUGGGGUUGUUUGAAGAAUAUAACAGUUUAAGUAUAGAAUCAACAUAAUUCACAAGGGUAGUAUUUCUUCUUCAAGCUUGUUUCAUGGGCCAUGUAUGAAAGUCUAUACAAUAAAUAUAUAAUGAAUGAAUGACA